CUUCCGGCUCUUCCUGCUCCUUUCCCAACUAGUCUUGAGUGUGGUAGCGUACACCUGCUCCCUUCUGGCUUUGGGGAAGGGGAUGAGACUGCGCUCCCGAACCGGAGGCAUACUGGGCCGCUGAGGCAUAGGAAUGGUCACAAGGUUUAAGCCCUGAAUUAAGUUUUCCCCCUUAGACGCCUCAAGCCCUCCAGCCCAAGAUGUAGCCCUCGAAUAGUCUAGCUGCGGGGUUCCGCGUUCAUGGUUUAAGGGAAAGUUAUCCAAACGGAAGUCCACCCCCGAAAACCAAUGAAGAAAGCCGAAUAGGAUUAUGAGAUGCGGGAGGGGGUGCCCCGCAGCUCUAAAAGCUCACCUCCUUACGACCCUGCCAAGAAUGUGGGUUGAGAAUUCAUCUAAGAACGCUGUGAAACAUGAGGCACACACAGGAGACCCCCUUUUCUAGCAGGCCAAUUCGGAUGACCCCCACCCCGCAUCAUUAUUGAGCACAGGUGUUGAACCCUUCACCUGUGUGUGUGUGCAGCGAAAGGGUCUUGACUUGAUGGGGCUGUCUGAGUGGUCCUCAACUGACAUGCAAUCCAUACUCUUUCAUUCAUAGAUACAGCUUUCCCUAUGGGAUUUUUGGAGGGGGAAAAUGACAUUAAAAAUUCUUCAGGGCAGGGGCAGUGAGAUGGCUCAGUGGAUGGAGAGAGCCAGACCUAGGGAGAGAGCGAAGAUCCUGGGUUCAAAUCUGGCCUCAGACUCUUUCUAGGGUGUGAUCUUGGGCAAGACACCACCCCAAGUGUGUAGGCUUUACCACUCUUUUGCCUUGGAACCAAUACACAGCAUCAAUUCUAAGACAGAAGGGGUUUCCCUGGACAGCAGAAGAAGGAAGGACAUAUUUGGAAAUGGAAUAAAAGCAAAAGGUCUCUACCCAUCCAUGCCUGUUUAUCAAGAGGGACUCAUCUAUGUCCUCUUGCAAUUCCACCCUAUUGGUUCCGUCCAAUGUGCUGUGAUGGGAAUAUGGGGGUGCUGGAAGGGAGGAAGGAGAGAAGGAAAGAGGAAAGGAGGAAAGCAGAGAGGAAGAAGAUCAAGGCAAGAGCAUCAUCCAGUGAGACAAGAAGCAAGCAUCCUGGUUCAUCAGGGUUUGAUGCCUCAAGAGGCUCCUUUCCCAUUAAAACUUGACUUGGUAACUUGGGACUCUGACUUAUUCCUAUCUAUGUGGGAUUCUAGGGAAAUGCUCUCAAAAGCAGUGUGGCCACGUAGAUAGGGCAUAGAGUCACAAGUCAGUGUUCAAACCCCUCUUCAGUGCUUCUGAGCUUUGAAAUUCCAGGCAAACCCCCAGCUUCUCUGCCCAUCAGUGUCUUCAUUUGUAAAAUCAGGGAAUUGGGCUCAAUAACUUUGAAGGUUCUUCCCAGCUGUGACUCUGUUAGCACACCUUGUCACUGAAACCUUCUUCUGAUGCCAAAUCGAAUAUAUUCUGAGCCCAGAACUCAUGAUGUAAGAUCAGGAGAUGCUCAUACUAUUUGCAAUGUCAGACAUCUUUGAGAGGAAAGUUUGUUUUUCUGACUACCACUUAGAUGAUUUUUAAAUUAAUGUAAAUUUGGGAAAUUCAAAAUUUGUUCAAAAUUUUUACUUGGAG
This is a long non-coding RNA of Monodelphis domestica (gray short-tailed opossum), 1618 nucleotides long. NCBI's taxonomy places the organism in Eukaryota, Metazoa, Chordata, Mammalia, Didelphimorphia, Didelphidae. The record is from Ensembl.